UACACACACAUACAUUUAACUGAAUAUAAUGGAGAAGGCUUGCUCUUUAAAAAUAACAUUUGUUAUUGCUGCAGUUAGAAAAACAAUGCCCCUUUAUUGUAUUUUUUUUCUUGACCCUACAGAAUGCCUGGUGGUAACCAGCCUUCCAUGUGGCUGAACAGAUGCCAGUGUACCCGAAUUCUGAGACACAAUUGGAUGUUCUUUUCUUCUGCUUUUAAGAUUCCCAAUUCGAGAUGAUGUGCAGUUCAUGUUAGAUUUGCUAUUUCUACAGUUACAGUGAAGUAGAAGAGUCCGGUCAUGUUAUGGGUCAGCAGUUAAACAAGAAGAAUGGAGAGAUGUAUGCCAUAUUGAAGUAGUAGGUGGCCCUCCUGCCUGGCACUUCUAGAAUCCUCCAUCUCAAUUUCUGCUCUGAUCUGCUGUGCCUUUGCCAAGUGAUCACGAUUUAAUUGCAGUGGUGCCCCAUCUGCAUCUCCACCGUCUGUUACAUCAACUCCAACUGCCUGUGAUACUAGAGAGAAGAAAAGUUCACAAGAUGUCCUGAAAUGGAAUUGUGAUUGGACUGAGACGGCCACAAUUAUGUAUGCUGUGAUGUGCACAGCGGGCCAUACGGGCUUUGGCUUGGGACCCCCAGAGGUUUAUUAUCUCCAGCAUCUUUGAAAGCUGCAAGUUUGUCUUUGUUCCCGGCCAUUUGACCAGGCAGUGUAUUUAUUACAAAGGACAAGGAUCCCUCCAUUUGCUUCUUAUUUACUUUUAUAAUGCCUUCAAUUUUCUUUGUAACUGUAUUUUUUUGUAGAGCAAUUUGAGCUACACUUGUAAGAAAGGGUGAUAUAGAAAU
Molecule: long non-coding RNA, 835 nt
Organism: Erpetoichthys calabaricus (reedfish)
Lineage: Eukaryota; Metazoa; Chordata; Cladistia; Polypteriformes; Polypteridae
Exons: 3
Source: RefSeq, a predicted model, not a curated record